GUAGAAAAAAAAAGGAACAAAGUUUUAGUGAGAAUAGUCUUAACUUCAAUUUUCAGAGAAGAUGCACACAUUGGCCCACUUUAGCUGAACUUCCUGCAGUGCUUUUGGGUUAGCUCGUGCUCCCUCAGCAAAUGGAACAACAAGGGAAAACCCCACAGCACACAGAGCUGAAACAAACUGCAUUUAUCAGUGGCUUUGCCAUCAGUGUGGUGCCCCACUGACACAGGCCUGGCACAGAGAGUCACCAAGUGAUGCAGAGGCCUCUGCUUGGACAAACUCACUUUGAUCUGAUUUGUAUUGUCAGGGCCUUGAUUGCUUUCAAAAAUCCACUUUUUUACUUAUUGAUGGAACAUGCAUCUAAUAUAGUGAGUCAAAUCAAAGUUGAUUGUCCACUGUAAAUUAGCUGUAGUUCACUGCAAACAUUUUAAGGAGCUACAAAUUGUAAAAGGUCAGAAAUGUCAACUAAAAUGUUCUCAAUGUUUUCUUUAACAAACAUUCCUAUUUUUCUUCUGACAAUCUUGAAGGAAGAACAUACUUAGUAAAUUCUACAAUCUCAUGUAGAAUUGAAACAUUUUUCACUUAAUGUCCUUUUCUACAGUUGACAGAUUGCCCGUGAAAGCAAAUAAAAAGAUCAGUUUGCAUGAAAAUGUGGUGCAGCUUUAAGGCCAGCAGAAAAAGAGAGGAAGCAGAUUUAAAUACACAAAUUCUGUGCCCUAGGUACAAGGAACACUUGUACAGAGCUUCAGCAUUUUUAACCUACAACCAGAAGCAAAACCACUUGCAGUUUACACCUGGAAAGGAAGAGAGAACAGGUCUGACUAAUUCAGUGAGCUGCCUCUCCAGGAAAGGCAUUUUCUUUUAGGAGAUUUUACCUGAGAUAGCUGUCUCAGGCAAAAUCUGGGAUUUCUCUUGCAGCAAAGACGUGGCCUCAGGUGAAACAAACGAAACAAAAUCCUGAAUUAAAGUUGACACAGGCACUGAGUAAUUAAGAGAAAUUAUUUUCCAUGUUUGAAGAGGCACACGUAGUGUAGGGAAGUGUCUCUGAAAAGCUCAGGGGUGUGUCAGGACAUACAAAUUUGCUUGCACUGACUCAGUGCACUUGGUAUGCAGCUGGUUAGUCAGAUUCUGCCUCAGAGAUUGCCUUCCUCUGCCAGCCAGUGCAGGGCUGCCUGAGUCCUGCAACACUCCAGGGACAGACAGGUCACUGAGACAUUCUGAAGAAGAGCUUGGGAUCAUCCACUAGGAGAGAUAAAGCCUAAAAAACUGUACUCCCCAAAUCUAAUCUUAUACACCAGAAAAGGAUUAAAACCUGUAAAGUUUUUGUCAGCUCUUCCCACGUGCCUUCUGCUGGAUAGGGGGGAUCAGAGUUACAGCUAAAGGCUCACUUUGAACCCAGACCAGCAGGCCUAGAGCAGGCAGCUACUCCUGGGGUUGCUUUGCUCAGGCAGGCAGAAUCAUCCACUCCUGUUUGCAAGAGCCUUGGCACUGCCUUUCACUGAGUGCACACCAGGAGUCACGUCCAGAAGAGGCACAACAAUCUUCACAAGUGCACUGUGAACCAUGAGCAGCACCAUCUGGCAUCUGUGUUGCCAGCCACUACUACCCAAACCUAAACAUCGAUGCUGCUGUUGCAGCACUGAGGGGGCUCAGAGACAGGGCUGCUGGUCGAGAUGAGUGGCCUGACCCAGCAGAUCCAUUCCACACCAGGAACCACAACAGCAAACUGCUGCAGUCAAUGAAAAUCAUCCCAGCUGGGCUGUGGUUGUGAGUGUUUGGACUGAGAGGUCUUAGAGUUCCCUGUCCAGCUGCUCAGAGCCCCUGACACACACACCACACACAUCCCUCUGUCCCAGGAGAGAUGCAGUGACCUUGCAGACACGAAGCCCAGAGGGAAACCAGGCUGCUGUGCCAAGCCCUGAGCUCUCCUGUUUCCACAGCCAUAUACAGAGCAGUGCACUGAUUCCCCACGUUCUGUGUUCCCUUCUAGGCCAGCAGCUGGCAGCACUGACUUUGGCCUGGCUUUUUUCUCUGACUUUGUUUUCACAGCUCCAUGGAAACCUGGCAGCAGUGAAAAACAAGCUUUGGGGCUAUGCUGUUAGGUUGGGAGGCAUCUUGUUCCCAGCCUUUCUUGCAGAAUGCUGAGGAGCAUUUUCACCUGAAAGGUUUUGCAGACUUUGAUGGGAAAGCCUAACAAAGGCAAAAGGGAGAAUCCAAAGGGCCAGACCAAGGCAUGGGUGUGACCCAGCCAUGGCAAGGGAUGGUGCAGUGCCCCGUUUCCCAUCGCUGCUGACCUGCUGCUUGGCAAACAGCAUUUACCAGAGUCUGAACUGGGGCAGCCUCCACAGCUGUGCUACAACAUCCCUGGAAAAAUCUGUACUCUCCAGGCUUGGCCAGCUCCUCACUAGGAACUGUCUUUGCUGGAGCUGCUCCCUCCAGUGUGGGAUGGAUGCCUGGCUGAGGGAGUGCCCAUGGUCCAGUCCCAGCCACACACAGUGACUCAGAGCCUGGCCCUGGGAAACUGCAGAUACAUAUUCUUGUACCUGAUUUCUUUAUUUGCCUCACACAAAUGCUGUUAACACCUGUAUUUAACUUAGAGAAGAUAAUAUAGACAUACAAGGAUUAUCACGAUUGAUCAGAGCAAGAAUAAAGAAUGCUUCAGAAGAAAAGAGGAAAAAAAACCCAAGCAAACAAAAAAAGCAUUGCACAACCUACAACCUGGAUCUCAUUUCUGGUUUUAGAAACUGGGAGACUGGUUUAAUUUACAGGUUGAAGGUAACACUUUAGAAGGAAAGCUAAUUUCUCAUUGCAAGAAUCCUGGGCAUUUUUGUCCAUGUAAAUCACACCAAACAUGGCAGGAACUUUUCCAAACAACACACCUGAGAAAAGGCUGCACCAGAGCUGACCUCCCCAUUGCAAGACUAUCUAACCCAAAAGAUUAACCUCCUCAGGCAGCAAACACUGCUCAAAUGCCCCAAUAAAGCCACCAUGGCCCUAUAAAUGGCCCAGCUGCCUUCACCUGCUCUCCUGCAGCCGGGCAAGGGCUCACAUUUCCUUUCCAUGAACCCCUGGCAGUGCAAAAGUCCUUGUUGCUGCAGGCACAGAAACCUGCACCUCUGCAGCAACUCUGAACCUGUGCUACGCUCUCACCUGCCUGCAGGAGGGCUGUGAACAACAAUUCAACAGCACAUUUCAUCACCAAGCUUUUCUGGAAGAGUGCUUUGGGAUUUUCAGAUGAAAGGGGAUGAUGAGAGACAAACGACAUCAGUGUCAGUUGUUCCUUCCUUGUACCCUCCUGUCACUCCACAGCUUUCCCUAAAUGCUCUGAGGAUGAUGAAACAAUCCAACUUGUAUUUGAGCAAAAUGGAACAGCAGGAAAAAAGCACAGCUAGGGCCUUCUAAAGAUUUAGUUUGAGUAUUACACACCCUGGAGAAUAAGGUGUGAUGGGAGAGAGGAAACUUCAUCAGGAACAGAGGAACUGGUUGCAAAGAUGUGCUGAAUUCCUCCAUGAUACCAGUGCACAGUAAAUGGGGAAAUAACCAAUGUGGAACCAUAUUAAUUUGAAUUUCUUGUGAAAUGGGAGAGUGUGUGUGCAGAGGAUGUGGGAGCAGCACACCAUACCUAAAUGCUGACAACUUCACUUUUCAGCAGACAACACAUAAAACACCCCUCCACAAGCGUAGAGCUAGAAUAAAAAUUAGCCAACCUAAAAUACUGUCACUACAGUGAAAUCCUCAAACUAUCACUAGUGUGAGCCUGUUUUCUUACCCCAAACAUUUUGUGUUGCUUUGAAAGUUUUGGUUUGUUUUUCUAUUUUAGUUGGACCAACCCAGUGAUUUAGAAGGAAAAUUUUCAUUUUGUUAUGCAAUUAAGCUCUUGGACAAACAAAUUACAUUUCUGGCAGUUUUCAAGUUUACUUUCUUAAACAGAAAAAAAUUACUUUUUUUUUUCUUUUAGUGCAUUUACAUUUGUUUGCAAAUGGUUUGUUUCCAUCGAAGCUCCAUUUUCUAUAGAACAAAUGGAACGUUCCCAGCGUGGGACUCCUCCACAGCUCCACUUGCAGCAAUCCCAUCUCACUGAAAGGAGAGCAGGAGACAAUGCACACGCAGGGCUUGGUGUCAGGGUUAAAAGUUCUCCUUCUCACGUGUAAGCUGCUAGGGGACACACCUUAGCUCUGAAAGGGGCUGGUAAGCUCAAAGCUGAAUAAUGGAAGGGGUUCCCAACGCCACAAAUGAAUCCAAUCAAGCUACACAACAAUUCCCCCUGUUCCUCUCUGGAACAGGCUAACAGAAAUAUGCUGUAAUAAAAGGGGCUCUGUUCCAAGAACAGUGCACUGUGGACAAUGCUCAGCAUUAGCUGGGGCUGCUCCUGGCCGUGACCUGCUGCGUGCUCUGGGUCACAUCUGUGCCACACCAGGGUCCCCAGCCCUGCCCUGGGGGCUCUGAGGGCAAACAGGUACAGUUCAGUGGCAUUUCAUGCUCUUUAGUGCCUUGAUCCUGGGAAAUACAAGGGCUCCUAUUGGCAAGAAAAGAACCAAACUAGGAGGUGCAAAAGCAGAGGAAGAUGUGUGUGAGCUUCCCACACACAGCCUGCCAAACACGCUUCUUGCAGGGCCUGGCCCUCGGGAAUUGAGGGCUGCCAGUGCUCUCCUACGUGCCAAACUCCGUAUUUACUUCUCUCUGAGAUUACAGGCAAGGGAUUUGGACGAGGCCUGCUAUUAUUUGAUGUCAAAACUUCACUUGGAUUUGGCACAGCGGAGUCCAAAAGCCUAACUGGAAAAGGGGAGCUUCAAUCCAAAACCCAGGCUCUCUGCAGGUGGGAAGUCGCUGUAUCUGUACAGUCAAGUGAAAAGUCCACCUCUCCAGUUUGAGUUGUACACCCUUCCCACCAUGCCCAUGGGUUUGGUGUUUGCAUUUUCUUGGGGUUUGGGGCUUUUUUCCGUUUGGUUGGUUGGGUUUU
This is a long non-coding RNA of Prinia subflava (tawny-flanked prinia), 4957 nucleotides long. RefSeq lists it as uncharacterized. The transcript is spliced from 2 exons. Lineage: Eukaryota; Metazoa; Chordata; Aves; Passeriformes; Cisticolidae. The record is from RefSeq and is a predicted model, not a curated record.